GUCGGGUGUAGAGGCGCAUACCUGUAAUCCCAGCAGCUCUGGAGGCUAAGGCUGGAGGAUCACAAGUUCAAAGCCAGCCUCAGCAAAAGCAAGGCACUAAGCAACUCAGUGAGACCCUGUCUCUA
RNAcentral lists this small RNA (125 nucleotides) under Marmota monax (woodchuck). The record is from RNAcentral. Lineage: Eukaryota; Metazoa; Chordata; Mammalia; Rodentia; Sciuridae.